UACGAAGGGGGCUAGCGUUGCUCGGAAUGACUGGGCGUAAAGGGCGCGUAGGCGGAUGGCACAGUCAGAUGUGAAAUUCCCGGGCUUAACCUGGGGGCUGCAUUUGAUACGUGUGAUCUGGAGUGAGGAAGAGGGUCGUGGAAUUCCCAGUGUAGAGGUGAAAUUCGUAGAUAUCUGGAGGAACACCGGUGGCGAAGGCGGCAUCCUGGACCGACACUGACGCUGAGGCGCGAAAGCUAGGGUAGCAAACGGG
This 253-nucleotide ribosomal RNA is filed under the name uncultured bacterium. RNAcentral's name for it is "partial 16S ribosomal RNA". It matches the Rfam family "Bacterial small subunit ribosomal RNA", at positions 524 to 776 of the family's 1533-position model. The record is from RNAcentral.